RNAcentral lists this transfer RNA (86 nucleotides) under Subdoligranulum sp. 4_3_54A2FAA. RNAcentral describes it as "tRNA-Tyr". It matches the Rfam family "tRNA". Rfam says of the family: Transfer RNA (tRNA) molecules are approximately 80 nucleotides in length. The record is from RNAcentral. RNAcentral also lists the same sequence under 15 other names. Lineage: Bacteria; Bacillati; Bacillota; Clostridia; Eubacteriales; Oscillospiraceae.
GGGAGAGUUCCCGAGUGGCCAAUGGGGGCAGACUGUAAAUCUGUUGCGUCUUCGCUUCGAUGGUUCGAAUCCAUCCUCUCCCACCA